Molecule: ribosomal RNA, 497 nt
Filed under: uncultured bacterium
Lineage: Bacteria
Description: partial 16S ribosomal RNA
Rfam family: Bacterial small subunit ribosomal RNA
Source: RNAcentral
GAUGAACGCUGGCGGCGUGCCUAAUACAUGCAAGUCGAGCGAACAGACGAGGAGCUUGCUCCUCUGACGUUAGCGGCGGACGGGUGAGUAACACGUGGAUAACCUACCUAUAUGACUGGGAUAACUUCGGGAAACCGGAGCUAAUACCGGAUAAUAUAUUGAACCGCAUGGUUCAAUAGUGAAAGACGGUUUUGCUGUCACUUAUAGAUGGUUCCGCGCCGCAUUAGCUAGUUGGUAAGGUAACGGCUUACCAAGGCAACGAUGCGUAGCCGACCUGAGAGGGUGAUCGGCCACACUGGAACUGAGACACGGUCCAGACUCCUACGGGAGGCAGCAGUAGGGAAUCUUCCGCAAUGGGCGCAAGCUUGACGGAGCAACGCCGCGUGGGUGAUGAAGGUCUUCGGAUCGUAAAACUCUGUUAUUAGGGAAGAACAAAUGUGUAAGUAACUAUGCACGUCUUGACGGUACCUAAUCAGAAAGCCACGGCUAACUACGUG